AUGAACCGCGAAGUGGCCAUCAAGAGGGUGUCCGAGACCUCUCGACAAGGAUGGAAGGAGUUCGUCUCUGAGGUGAGCAUCAUUAGCCGGCUGAGGCACCGGAACGCGCUCGUCAGCUCCUUGCCCGUCAGCGAGCAGAUGUGGGCUGGGGAGUGCCCGUCGACGAGCGCGUUCUUCUUGCUAAGCCGACCUCGACGGGAGUACAAGAUAGUGCUCGGAGUAGGUUCUGCACUUCUGUACUUGCAUCAAGACACGGAGCAGAGAGUAGUGCACACGGACAUCAAGCCAAGCAACAUCAUGCUAGACGCUUGCUUCACCGCCAAGCUCGGCGACUUCGGGCUCGCAAGGCUCAUCAACGACGGCCGGUGA
This 369-nucleotide ribosomal RNA is filed under the name Triticum aestivum (bread wheat). RNAcentral's name for it is "partial small subunit ribosomal RNA". Lineage: Eukaryota; Viridiplantae; Streptophyta; Magnoliopsida; Poales; Poaceae. The record is from RNAcentral.